CCCCAGUCCACCAUACUUUUCUCUCUCACUCAGCAUGGACAGGGCAGGACCAGAGCCUUCAGCGCUUCCGGGUUUUACCUCCUGUGUCGCUCUGUUUCCUGUCUGUCCUCCUCUGUGAUUGGCCGCGGUCGGAGAGGAACCAUCGGGGCCGAGGAGCCGACAUCCAUCACCUGCUAUUUAUCAGCGGCGAGCGGCCGACGGAGCGCCGCAAAGUUUUAUAAGAGACGAAGAAAAAUAAUAACUGAGCGGCAGAAACAAUCAUCAGAUAGAUGGAGGAGGCCGUUAUUAGAUUAAAACUCCUCUGACAGUCGGCCUCAACUCCUCACAUCAACACUUUAUCUGCUCCAUGUGUCCGGAAAAAAUAAACUCUGUGAUGGAGCAAAGAUUCAGCUGCACUUUUGUAAUUUGUGCGAACAGGACGAAUCUGAUUGCUGCUGCAGAUCCAGUAAACUGAA
Acanthopagrus latus (yellowfin seabream) is the source of this 455-nucleotide long non-coding RNA. RefSeq lists it as uncharacterized. The transcript has 3 exons. NCBI's taxonomy places the organism in Eukaryota, Metazoa, Chordata, Actinopteri, Spariformes, Sparidae. The record is from RefSeq and is a predicted model, not a curated record.